This 254-nucleotide ribosomal RNA is filed under the name uncultured bacterium. RNAcentral's name for it is "partial 16S ribosomal RNA". It matches the Rfam family "Bacterial small subunit ribosomal RNA", at positions 524 to 776 of the family's 1533-position model. The record is from RNAcentral.
UACGUAGGGGCCAAGCGUUGUCCGGAUUUAUUGGGCGUAAAGAGCUCGUAGGCGGUUCGGCAAGUCAGCUGUGAAAUCUCCACGCUCAACGUGGAGGGGUCAGCUGAUACUGCUGUGACUUGAGUCCGGUAGGGGAGUGUGGAAUUCCCGGUGUAGCGGUGAAAUGCGUAGAUAUCGAGAGGAACACCUGCGGCGAAGGCGGGUUGCUGGGCUGACACUGACGCUGAUGCGCGAAAGCCAGGGGAGCGAACGGG